UUUUUUGCAUAAAAAGGUAAGCGGCUUAAAAGCAGUCGCGGAAAUGGGGCUUCGGCCCCUAGUAAAGUGGCGGACGGGUGAGUCUUAAAAGGGAAAUGUACCCUUCGGUGGGGGAUAACAGCCCGAAAGGGCUGCUAAUACCGCAUUCGUCGGCGAGGUCUGAGGGCCUUGUCGGGAAAGCUGGCCUCUUCAUGAAAGCUAGCGCCGAAGGAUCAGCCCGCGGCCCAUCAUGCUAGUUGGCGGUGUAAAAGACCACCAAGGCGAAGACGGGUAGCUGGUCUGAGAGGAUGAUCAGCCACACUGGAACUGAGACACGGUCCAGACUCCUACGGAGAGGCACCAGGGGGGAAAUUUGGGGAAAUGGGCGCAAGCCUGACCCACCCAUGCCCCGUGAGUGAUGAAGGCCUUCGGGUCGUAAAGCUUUUGGGGGAGGGGACGAAAACCCAAAUGCUAAUAUCUUCUGGAACUGACGGUACCUCCUUAGCAAGCAC
RNAcentral lists this ribosomal RNA (491 nucleotides) under uncultured Haliangium sp. RNAcentral describes it as "bacterial SSU rRNA". It matches the Rfam family "Bacterial small subunit ribosomal RNA", at positions 38 to 493 of the family's 1533-position model. Lineage: Bacteria; Pseudomonadati; Myxococcota; Haliangiales; Kofleriaceae. The record is from RNAcentral.